This 255-nucleotide ribosomal RNA is filed under the name uncultured bacterium. RNAcentral's name for it is "partial 16S ribosomal RNA". It matches the Rfam family "Bacterial small subunit ribosomal RNA", at positions 524 to 777 of the family's 1533-position model. The record is from RNAcentral.
UACGAAGGGGGCGAGCGUUGUUCGGAUUUACUGGGCGUAAAGGGCGCGCAGGCGGCCAUUCAAGUCAGGCGUGAAAGCCCCGGGCUUAACCUGGGAGGUGCGCUUGGGACUGGGUGGCUAGAGAUCGGGAGAGGAGAGUGGAAUUCCCAGUGUAGAGGUGAAAUUCGUAGAUAUUGGGAGGAACACCAGUGGCGAAGGCGGCGAUCUGGGAAGAUACUGACGCUGAGGUGCGGAAAGCGUGGGGAGCAAACAGGG